This 465-nucleotide ribosomal RNA is filed under the name uncultured bacterium. RNAcentral's name for it is "partial 16S ribosomal RNA". It matches the Rfam family "Bacterial small subunit ribosomal RNA", at positions 29 to 507 of the family's 1533-position model. The record is from RNAcentral.
ACGAACGCUGGCGGCGCGCCUAACACAUGCAAGUCGCACGAGCGAGAGAGAGCUUGCUUUCUCGAGCGAGUGGCGAACGGGUGAGUAACGCGUGAGGAACCUGCCUCAAAGAGGGGGACAACAGUUGGAAACGACUGCUAAUACCGCAUAAGCCCACGACCCGGCAUCGGGUAGAGGGAAAAGGAGCAAUCCGCUUUGAGAUGGCCUCGCGUCCGAUUAGCUAGUUGGUGAGGUAACGGCCCACCAAGGCGACGAUCGGUAGCCGGACUGAGAGGUUGAACGGCCACAUUGGGACUGAGACACGGCCCAGACUCCUACGGGAGGCAGCAGUGGGGAAUAUUGCACAAUGGGGGAAACCCUGAUGCAGCGACGCCGCGUGGAGGAAGAAGGUCUUCGGAUUGUAAACUCCUGUUGUGGAGGAAGAUAAUGACGGUACUCAACAAGGAAGUGACGGCUAACUACGUG